UAUAAAACAAAUAAUGAAUGUUUUUAUUCGUGCAAUGGUAAGAAUAUUUUCAUUCGGUGAAAGAUGGAAUGUUCCAUUCAACUCGGCUGUCGCCUCGUUGAAUGGAACAUUCCAUCUUUCACCGAAUGAAAAUAUUCUUACCAUUGCACGAAUUAAAACAUUCAUUAUUUGUAUAAUA
Non-coding RNA from Paramuricea clavata, 178 nucleotides. The record is from the annotation of a GenBank genome assembly. Lineage: Eukaryota; Metazoa; Cnidaria; Anthozoa; Malacalcyonacea; Plexauridae.